RNAcentral lists this ribosomal RNA (587 nucleotides) under uncultured bacterium. RNAcentral's name for it is "bacterial SSU rRNA". It matches the Rfam family "Bacterial small subunit ribosomal RNA", at positions 338 to 916 of the family's 1533-position model. The record is from RNAcentral.
CCUACGGGAGGCAGCAGUAGGGAAUCUUCGGCAAUGGGGGCAACCCUGACCGAGCAACGCCGCGUGAGUGAAGAAGGUUUUCGGAUCGUAAAGCUCUGUUGUAAGUCAAGAACGAGUGUGAGAGUGGAAAGUUCACACUGUGACGGUAGCUUACCAGAAAGGGACGGCUAACUACGUGCCAGCAGCCGCGGUAAUACGUAGGUCCCGAGCGUUGUCCGGAUUUAUUGGGCGUAAGGCGAGCGCAGGCGGUUAGAUAAGUCUGAAGUUAAAGGCUGUGGCUUAACCAUAGUACGCUUUGGAAACUGUUUAACUUGAGUGCAAGAGGGGAGAGUGGAAUUCCAUGUGUAGCGGUGAAAUGCGUAGAUAUAUGGAGGAACACCGGUGGCGAAAGCGGCUCUCUGGCUUGUAACUGACGCUGAGGCUCGAAAGCGUGGGGAGCAAACAGGAUUAGAUACCCUGGUAGUCCACGCCGUAAACGAUGAGUGCUAGGUGUUAGACCCUUUCCGGGGUUUAGUGCCGCAGCUAACGCAUUAAGCACUCCGCCUGGGGAGUACGACCGCAAGGUUGAAACUCAAAGGAAUUGACGG